GGGAGUGGGGUGCUGAGGAAGAGGAGGCCCAGGGGGUGAAGGAAUGACCCCUGGCUCCCUGACGUCGGCGAGGUUCUGGUCCUGUAGAAGGUGGUCCUCUUGGAAACCCCUAAAGUUCCAGCUUCCUCUGAGCUCUCCCCAGCAUCUGACGCAGCCCGGAAAGCCAGCUGCUGGGCCUAGGUCUGGGCCCUGGCCCCCGGUCACCUGGGCUGGACCACACUGAAAGGGACCUUGUCCUGCACCCAGCCCCUGCUGUGUAGGGUGCCUUGGGCCUCGGCAAACAUCUCUUUCGGUCCCUGGCACUGUGCAAGCUGGUUUUGCAGAUGGAGAAGCUGAGGCGCAUGGAGGCAAAGUGACUUGUGAUGGCAGAGCUGACGCACAUGACCUGACUCUGAGCCUGGUCUGGGCUGGUACCUCGCCGGCGUGCCUCUCUGUGCCCCCGCAGCCCCAGCACAUUCCAUUGGCUGCCUCCCCAGGUCAGCGUCAGAGCCAGAGCCUGGAGCAGGAGGUAGCUCUCCUGGGAGGGCGCAGAGAUCCACUCUGCAAGCCAACAAAGCCCCCAGCCCGAGGCCCAGGGUCACAGGGCCAGGGGGCAUCGGGCGUGGCACUCACGGUUGGCAGCCAGGCGGGCGUGGCUGGCGUUGCUGUGGGAGUGGGCCUGGUGCACGGAUUCAUCCACCACGGCCGCCAUCCAGUUGGCCAGGUUGGUGGGUCGAGGCCUGGCAGAGUUUGAGUGUCUGGUUGUUUAUUCCUGGGAGCAAGGCCAGCCUCAGGCAGGGUCUUGUCCAAGGUAGGAAGACCCUCUGGUGACUUCUCACUCGCUUUGGCAACACCCCCUGCCCCAUCUUCAUCCUGGGUUGCCCUGCAAGGCCUCGCCCUCCUCUGGCUGCCAGCCAGUCCUUCUGUGUGGGGUCUCUGUGUUUUCCUUUCUCCUGAGUAUUCUUCAAACCCACAACAUGUAAAAGACUAAAACGACAUGGAUUCCAGUCAGAAAUGUGUUGAAUUGUGGACAACGGGCCCCGGGGAUGAUGGUUCAGGGGAGGAACCAUACACGUGGUCAUUCUGGUCUUACAGGGCUGGGCCGAUCUGGUCCCAGGGAGGGCCAGUCCUGCCUCAGCUUGGUAGGAAGAUCGUUCAAACUGUUAUAUGUGCAAUGAAGAAAGUAUAUAUAGUUGAACAUCUAGGGAAAACCCCAGGUACAGCCUAUCCUAUUUCCUGAACAAAUACACAAUACUGUAUAGGGGCCAGGGCUGAGGGCAAACUGGCCAUGGCGGGACCCUGGGCUGAGACUGAUGCCCUCCACGGGCACCCAGGGAGGGCAGGCCAGGCUCUAGGAGACAGGAUGGCUGCCAUGACUCACACCUCUCAGGUGCGAACUGGUGGCACUGCUCAGGCUGAAGUGAAACCACAGGGCCCCCCCAAGUGGGCCCUCACAUUUGGAUGUGACUUCAUUAUCCGGUGCUACCAAGUGCCUCAUGACCUCUACAGUCCUAUCCCCACAUUACCUGACUGUUGAGGGUAGAAUAAGGGUGGAGCUCAGCCCUCCUGACCCCAUUCUGGGUGCUGGUUCCUGUCCACCACACUCAAGGACCCUCCUCCUACCCAUCCACCCACCCACCUGGAUGACGACAAACACAGCCUGGGUGAGAGGGUGCAGAAUCUUGAUGGCCGACUGGCACUCGUAGAAACUGGAGUAGUAGCCCGUCUUGAAGACAUCCAUGACCAGGGUGCAGAUCCCAAACAGCACCAGCCCACCUGGGAAUGGGGGGGUGGGGGAUCAGACAGGGGGGAGAGGAGGC
Long non-coding RNA from Myotis myotis, 1799 nucleotides. RefSeq lists it as uncharacterized. The record is from RefSeq and is a predicted model, not a curated record. NCBI's taxonomy places the organism in Eukaryota, Metazoa, Chordata, Mammalia, Chiroptera, Vespertilionidae. The transcript is spliced from 4 exons.